AAAAAAAAAUUGAAAUACACAGCCACUUAGCCCCAAAUGAAAUUAACAAAACAAGAAAAAUCCCUAAUUGUGUAUUACACGUUUAAUUAUCUAGUCUCUACCAGUUGGCUUCUCUGGAUCUCACUCAAACUCAGCCUCUCAAUCGUUUUCCUCUCACGCUCACUCGCUCGAUCUAUUCUCUCUCACACUCAGCCCCCUCGAUCCGUUCUCUCACUCAGCCUCUACAAGAACUCAGAUCUCGUCUUUCUCUUCAUAAUGUCGAGCUUCUCUCCUUCACACUCAGCCUCGGCAAGAACCAGGCGACCCUGCCGAUGCAAGAACCAGGCCACCAUGGGGCAAACUAGGCAGACCUCCAAUUGUUUAUGAGAUUCUUCCACCACAAUGCUUAUAGAUGGUUUCCUGCAUAUGGGUUAGUUAAUAUCUUGUUCUGAAGGAGGGCCAAUGAAAACAGAUCAGGAUCACAAUUCGUUUAUUGGAAUCAAAUCAUUGAUUGAGCCUACUCUUCGUGAACUACAAUCAAAGAUGAGAGAAGCUGAGAAUGAUCCCCAUGAUGGCAAGAGAAAGUGUGAGGCUUUGUGGCCUAUAUUCAAAAUAGCACAUCAGAAGAGCCGUUACAUUUUUUACCUUUACCAUCAGCAAAAGGAAAUAUCUAAGGAGCUGUUUGAGUUCUGUCUAGACCGACCAAGCCUGGUUAUGAACGCCUCUGCUGCUUGAGGUGCAUGCAGCCCCGAGAUCAUAACUUUGCUACCACAUGUGUGUGUCGAGCGCUGAAACAUCUGAGAAAGGAGAAGGUUAUAGAGUGUGUACAUUGUGGUUGUAGGGGCUGCACUAGUGGAGACUGAUUGGCUUCCACUUCUUCUGAGUGUUAACUAUAUAUGCUAGGAUAGUCUAUUAUGGUUAAAUAACUAAAAACUGAAUUUGUUUUGCUAAUGCAACAUCAUCAUGCUUCAUACUCAUUGAAUGGUGCCAAUGACAGUGAGAAAACAAAGGCGUUGUUGACAAGUACUGCACAUGUUCAUUUGAAGUACUCAGAAAUCAUCUUCAACUACCUCAGAAAGUGUACAACUUAUAUGUUAUGAUGGAUUUCAAGUCUGGGCUCUCUUACGUUUGAUGAUGGCAGGAAUCUUUAAGCCAUUUUAAGCACAUUUUUUUAUCUGGGUAAGCAAGGAAAGCAUAGAGAUGUCAAGGUUUACUUAAUUCCUAGAAACCAUGACAUUGGCUAUGAAAGUAACCUCAUUCAUAGUCUAGAGGAGUUUGGAAAGAGAAACUAUCGAUUUACAGCAGUAGAAGUAGAAUUUACUGCCAUUGAUGCCCAAACUUUAGAUGGUAAAAGAGAACAAGCAACUUUUUUUUGUUUAUCUAUCAUAUAAUUGUUGUUUGAACUCUGAAAUUUGGAUGUGAUAAUAAUGAAUGUGACGUCAGCCAAGCAAUUGUUUUUCCUGGACAUGGAAGUUUAAUAUCAAUUAACCAGUAAAUUAUUCCUUGUAGUUGGCAUCUUUACUAUAAUUGAUCUUAAUUUCUCAUGGAAUUUGCAUUCCUUGUAUAAUGUAAAAUGAUUUAUUAUUGCUCUGAUGGCAUUUAGAUGACUUUGUAUUAGAGUGUAGAUGACUGGAUUCUUUAGUUAACAAUGGUAAAUCAUCAACAUCAUAUCAUCAAAAGAAUCAAGCUUUCUCGUCUUGGAAUUUGUCAAGAAUGUAUCAAUUGGUAUAGAUUGUUGACUUAUGUUUAUUUUGUGUUAUUAAGUUUGUGGUUACAAUAUAAUUUACUCAUUUAUGUAUUCUGCAUGUUUUAGUUGUUUGAUCUUAUCCAAGGGUUUUAUUGACCCAUAUUCCAUUGUAUCGACGUGAUUGGACAUAUUGUGGGCCUAAUUGCAAAUCUCCAGUUAUCAACUAGCGAGUGACGCACACGGCUAAUAGAGAAAUAAUGUUUGAUUAUAUUAUUGCUUUUCUACAAAAUGUGCACCUAAAAUAUUACUUUGAGUUGGUGACCUCGUAGAUGCUUUCGGAUUGAUCUUUGUUUCAAAUAAAUAGGUACCAGAAUUACAUUUCUGAGGAGUCAUUAGAUUUCUUACUGGAGUUGAUCAAACCUGUACAAUACAGACUUUAGGCAGAUAUUGACACAUUAUAGACACGCAGGCAACUAUCUUGACCUCAUGUGCAACUAUGGUCUCAACUUGCAAUGAAAAAGCAUGAGCUAAUUUAUUGAUUUUAGACAUUUUAUAUUGUGUCCAUGAAAAGUUUAAGUUCAAGUUGAGCAAUCACUAACAUGUACUUCUUUUCAGGUACUUAUCUUGUCUGGUCACGAUCAUGAUCAAUGCACUAUAACUCAUAAGUCAACAUCCGGGCCUGUAAUGGAGGAACUGUAAGUUGGCAGGAGGGAAACCUGUACCCAUCUUUCAUGUUGUUGUCUGCUACUAAUGUUGUACUUUCAAACACUUCAAGUCCUGAUGAAGAAAUAUCAACUCAGCUGUGCUUUCUUCAAGCAAUUGUUUAUCUAUCAUAUACUAAUUGUAGUUUUUAGAUAACACUUACAUAGUUAUUGUAAGUGUAUAUUUUGAUAUUGUAAUUUUUAGAUUUGAAACAUACUGAGUUCUAUUGAUUUUGUCUGCUUGUUGAUUCUGUCUUCACUAUGUUGUAAUUAUACAGGAAAUUAUGAAUGAAUUAGUGGUUGAAAAUAGAGAAAUGAAAAAAUU
Long non-coding RNA from Humulus lupulus (European hop), 2692 nucleotides. RefSeq lists it as uncharacterized. The record is from RefSeq and is a predicted model, not a curated record. Lineage: Eukaryota; Viridiplantae; Streptophyta; Magnoliopsida; Rosales; Cannabaceae. The transcript has 10 exons.